CCUACGGGUGGCAGCAGUGAGGAAUAUUGGUCAAUGGACGCAAGUCUGAACCAGCCAUGCCGCGUGCAGGAAGACGGCUCUAUGAGUUGUAAACUGCUUUUGUACGAGGGUAAACGCAGAUACGCGUAUCUGUCUGAAAGUAUCGUACGAAUAAGGAUCGGCUAACUCCGUGCCAGCAGCCGCGGUAAUACGGAGGAUUCAAGCGUUAUCCGGAUUUAUUGGGUUUAAAGGGUGCGUAGGCGGUCGGGUAAGUUAGAGGUGAAAUCCCGAGGCUCAACUUCGGAAUUGCCUCUGAUACUGUUCGGCGAGAGAGUAGUUGCGGUAGGCGGAAUGUAUGGUGUAGCGGUGAAAUGCUUAGAGAUCAUACAGAACACCGAUUGCGAAGGCAGCUUACCAAGCUACUUCGGACGUUGAGGCACGAAAGCGUGGGGAGCAAACAGGAGUAGAUACCCCGGUAGUC
This 460-nucleotide ribosomal RNA is filed under the name uncultured bacterium. RNAcentral's name for it is "partial 16S ribosomal RNA". It matches the Rfam family "Bacterial small subunit ribosomal RNA", at positions 338 to 795 of the family's 1533-position model. The record is from RNAcentral.